Beta vulgaris subsp. vulgaris (sugar beet) is the source of this 769-nucleotide long non-coding RNA. RefSeq lists it as uncharacterized. The transcript is spliced from 3 exons. NCBI's taxonomy places the organism in Eukaryota, Viridiplantae, Streptophyta, Magnoliopsida, Caryophyllales, Amaranthaceae. The record is from RefSeq and is a predicted model, not a curated record.
UGACCCAAUACCUUCCGUCGGACGGGCUUAGCCCAUCAAAAACGCGCGGGCUUUUUUUUCAUAUUUGUUUUGUUGAUCAGCAGAUUUGUUUAUUUUUAGAAAAAACAUAUAACGGUUAUUAGGUCAUUAUCUUUUUUCGAGUUUGAAACUGUUUUUUGGAUUUCUACUUGAUUCUCGCUAGUUUUAAAACUGAUUCUUCUUCAUUUCAAAGAAACCGAUAUAUUAUUUACUGAUUAUUUCUAGAAUUUUUCUGCUUCUCUGCUUCUCUGCUUCUCUGCUGUUGAAACUUAGCGUGUUUUUUUGUUCGUAAUUCAUUACUGUUGCAUCGCAAAUAUGGUGAAGAGGAUCAAAGAUUAUGAUUCUAGGUAUAAUUUCGUUUGAUUUUUGCUGCAAAUUUUUUUUUUGUUUUCAAAAUUUUAGCGUUUUUGUUGUUGUAAUUGUAAUGUAGCCCGAAGUCGAAGAAGGUGAAGAGUGUCGCAUCUUCAGGAAAAAUUUUGGCACUGUCUACUGCUGGGAAGAAGAAAGAGAAAGAUGGUGAUUAUGAUCCAAGAUGUGAUAAAUCAUUGUCUAAGAAGAAAGGCAAAUCUGAUUUAUCACCAAUCAAGUUUUCAUUUUCAAGAUCUAAUCCCGAUCAACAGAAAGACACAUUUGAUAGAUCGAAUAUGUGAAGAACAUGCACAAGUUGAAGAGGAAUGCGCUUGCAUUCUGUCAAGUGAAUUUGGAGAUUGCCCAGAAUAUUCGGGAGGAAGGCGAGAAGCUGUCUCAAGAC